AUUUGACUCAACGCGGGAAAUCUUACCGGGUCCGGACACACUGAGGAUUGACAGGCAAUUUCUCAUGGUUAUUAACCCGGUUAUUACAUUUGUUUAAUCGGUUAUUAAGCAUCGAGUGUUAAAUAUGCUAGUCCUUUCAUGAUUAUGUGAUAGGUGGUGCAUGGCCGUUCUUAGUUCGUGGAGUGAUCUGUCUGCUUAAUUGCGUUUCACUAAGGGCCCAUAAAUUCAAGGUAUGUUAGCUAUCGUCGCUCUAUGGACCCCUUAUAC
RNAcentral lists this ribosomal RNA (267 nucleotides) under Neogloboquadrina pachyderma. RNAcentral describes it as "partial 18S ribosomal RNA". It matches the Rfam family "Eukaryotic small subunit ribosomal RNA", at positions 1193 to 1397 of the family's 1831-position model. Lineage: Eukaryota; Foraminifera; Rotaliida; Globorotaliidae. The record is from RNAcentral.